RNAcentral lists this ribosomal RNA (251 nucleotides) under uncultured prokaryote. RNAcentral's name for it is "partial 16S rRNA". It matches the Rfam family "Bacterial small subunit ribosomal RNA", at positions 525 to 775 of the family's 1533-position model. The record is from RNAcentral.
ACGGAGGGUGCAAGCGUUAAUCGGAAUGACUGGGCGUAAAGCGCACGUAGGCCGCAGUGUAAGUCAGGGGUGAAAUCCCACGGCUCAACCGUGGAACUGCCUUUGAAACUGCAGAACUUGAAUCCGGGAGAGGGUGGCGGAAUUCCUGGUGUAGGAGUGAAAUCCGUAGAUAUCUGGAGGAACACCAGUGGCGAAGGCGGCCACCUGGACCGGUAUUGACGCUGAGGUGCGAGAGCGUGGGGAGCAAACAG